Molecule: ribosomal RNA, 450 nt
Filed under: uncultured bacterium
Lineage: Bacteria
Description: bacterial SSU rRNA
Rfam family: Bacterial small subunit ribosomal RNA
Source: RNAcentral
CAGCCAGACUCCUACGGGAGGCAGCAGUGGGGAAUAUUGCACAAUGGGGGAAACCCUGAUGCAGCGACGCCGCGUGAGUGAAGAAGUCUUUCGGUAUGUAAAGCUCUAUCAGCAGGAACGAGACAAGACGGUACCUGACUAAGAAGCCCCGGCUAACUACGUGCCAGCAGCCGCGGUAAUACGUAGGGGGCAAGCGUUAUCCGGAAUCACUGGGUGUAAAGGGAGCGUAGACGGCAGUGCAAGUCUGGAGUGAAAGCCCGGGGCCCAACCCCGGGACUGCUUUGGAAACUGUGUAACUAGAGUACAGGAGGGGCAGGCGGAAUUCCUGGUGUAGCGGUGAAAUGCGUAGAUAUCAGGAGGAACACCGGCGGCGAAGGCGGCCUGCUGGACUGAAACUGACGUUGAGGCUCGAAAGCGUGGGGAGCAAACAGGAUUAGAUACCCGAGUACA